GAUCCUGGCUCAGGAUGAACGCUAGCUACAGGCUUAACACAUGCAAGUCGAGGGGCAGCAUGGUCUAGCAAUAGACUGAUGGCGACCGGCGCACGGGUGAGUAACACGUAUCCAACCUGCCGAUUAUUCCGGGAUAGCCUUUCGAAAGAAAGAUUAAUACUGGAUAGCAUAACGAGAAGGCAUCUUCUUGUUAUUAAGGAAUUUCGAUAAUCGAUGGGGAUGCGUUCCAUUAGUUUG
RNAcentral lists this ribosomal RNA (237 nucleotides) under uncultured bacterium. RNAcentral describes it as "partial 16S ribosomal RNA". It matches the Rfam family "Bacterial small subunit ribosomal RNA", at positions 15 to 248 of the family's 1533-position model. The record is from RNAcentral.